AACGAACGCUGGCGGCAGGCCUAACACAUGCAAGUCGAGCGCGCCCUUCGGGGUGAGCGGCGGACGGGUGAGUAACGCGUGGGAACGUGCCCUUCUCUGCGGAAUAGCCUCGGGAAACUGAGAGUAAUACCGCAUACGCCCUUUGGGGGAAAGAUUUAUCGGAGAAGGAUCGGCCCGCGUUGGAUUAGGUAGUUGGUGGGGUAAUGGCCCACCAAGCCGACGAUCCAUAGCUGGUUUGAGAGGAUGAUCAGCCACACUGGGACUGAGACACGGCCCAGACUCCUACGGGAGGCAGCAGUGGGGAAUCUUAGACAAUGGGGGCAACCCUGAUCUAGCCAUGCCGCGUGAGUGAUGAAGGCCUUAGGGUUGUAAAGCUCUUUCAGCUGGGAAGAUAAUGACGGUACCAGCAGAAGAAGCCCCGGCUAACUCCGCG
This 433-nucleotide ribosomal RNA is filed under the name uncultured bacterium. RNAcentral's name for it is "partial 16S ribosomal RNA". It matches the Rfam family "Bacterial small subunit ribosomal RNA", at positions 29 to 507 of the family's 1533-position model. The record is from RNAcentral.